GGACCCGCACAAGUAGUGGAGCAUGUGGUUUAAUUCGAAGAUACGCGCAGAACCUUACCAACACUUGACAUGUUCGUCGCGACUUUAAGAGAUUAAAGUUUUCGGUUCGGCCGGACGAAACACAGGUGCUGCAUGGCUGUCGUCAGCUCGUGUCGUGAGAUGUUGGUUAAGUCCCGCAACGAGCGCAACCCUCACUUUUAGUUGCCAUCAUUUAGUUGGGCACUCUGAAAGAACUGCCAGUGAUAAGCUGGAGGAAGGUGGGGAUGACGUCAAGUCCUCAUGGCCCUUACGUGUUGGGCUACACACGUGCUACAAUGGUAUCUACAACAGGAAGCUGGGAGUGCCUGAAGUC
RNAcentral lists this ribosomal RNA (352 nucleotides) under uncultured bacterium. RNAcentral's name for it is "bacterial SSU rRNA". It matches the Rfam family "Bacterial small subunit ribosomal RNA", at positions 917 to 1269 of the family's 1533-position model. The record is from RNAcentral.